Molecule: ribosomal RNA, 492 nt
Filed under: uncultured bacterium
Lineage: Bacteria
Description: partial 16S ribosomal RNA
Rfam family: Bacterial small subunit ribosomal RNA
Source: RNAcentral
AGUGAACGCUGGCGGUAGGCCUAACACAUGCAGGUCGAACGGCAGCACAGUAAGAGCUUGCUCUUACGGGUGGCGAGUGGCGGACAGGUGAGGAAUACAUCGGAAUCUACUUUUUCGUGGGGGAUAACGUAGGGAAACUUACGCUAAUACCGCAUACGACCUACGGGUGAAAGCAGGGGAUCUUCGGACCUUGCGCGAUUGAAUGAGCCGAUGUCGGAUUAGCUAGUUGGCGGGGUAAAGGCCCACCAAGGCGACGAUCCGUAGCUGGUCUGAGAGGAUGAUCAGCCACACUGGAACUGAGACACGGUCCAGACUCCUACGGGAGGCAGCAGUGGGGAAUAUUGGACAAUGGGCGCAAGCCUGAUCCAGCCAUACCGCGUGGGUGAAGAAGGCCUUCGGGUUGUAAAGCCCUUUUGUUGGGAAAGAAAAGCAGCAGGUUAAUACCCCGCUGUUCUGACGGUACCCAAAGAAUAAGCACCGGCUAACUUCGUG